UACGGAGGGUGCAAGCGUUAUCCGGAUUUACUGGGUUUAAAGGGUGUGUAGGCGGACUAUUAAGUCAGCGGUGAAAUCUCCGGGCUCAACCCGGAAACUGCCAUUGAUACUAUUAGUCUUGAAUGUUGUUGAGGUGGGCGGAACGGGUCAUGUAGCGGUGAAAUGCAUAGAUAUGACCCGGAACACCGAUUGCGAAGGCAGCCCACUAAGCAACGAUUGACGCUGAGGCACGAAAGCGUGGGGAUCAAACAGG
Molecule: ribosomal RNA, 253 nt
Filed under: uncultured bacterium
Lineage: Bacteria
Description: partial 16S ribosomal RNA
Rfam family: Bacterial small subunit ribosomal RNA
Source: RNAcentral